GACGAACGCUGGCGGCGUGCCUAAUACAUGCAAGUCGAGCGGACGGAUGGGAGCUUGCUCCCAGACCGUCAGCGGCGGACGGGUGAGUAACACGUGGGCAACCUGCCUGUAAGACUGGGAUAACUCCGGGAAACCGGGGCUAAUACCGGAUAACUCUUUCCCUCCCAUGAGGGAAAGCUGAAAGAUGGCAUCUCGCUAUCACUUACAGAUGGGCCCGCGGCGCAUUAGCUAGUUGGUGAGGUAACGGCUCGCCAAGGCGACGAUGCGUAGCCGACCUGAGAGGGUGAUCGGCCACACUGGGACUGAGACACGGCCCAGACUCCUACGGGAGGCAGCAGUAGGGAAUCUUCCGCAAUGGACGAAAGUCUGACGGAGCAACGCCGCGUGAGUGAUGAAGGUUUUCGGAUCGUAAAACUCUGUUGUCAGGGAAGAACAAGUACCGGAGUAACUGCCGGUACCUUGACGGUACCUGACCAGAAAGCCACGGCUAACUACGUG
RNAcentral lists this ribosomal RNA (498 nucleotides) under uncultured bacterium. RNAcentral's name for it is "partial 16S ribosomal RNA". It matches the Rfam family "Bacterial small subunit ribosomal RNA", at positions 28 to 507 of the family's 1533-position model. The record is from RNAcentral.